GACGAACGCUGGCGGCGUGCUUAACACAUGCAAGUCGAACGGAAAGGCCCUGCUUUUGUGGGGUGCUCGAGUGGCGAACGGGUGAGUAACACGUGAGUAACCUGCCCUUGACUUUGGGAUAACUUCAGGAAACUGGGGCUAAUACCGGAUAGGAGCUCCUGCUGCAUGGUGGGGGUUGGAAAGUUUCGGCGGUUGGGGAUGGACUCGCGGCUUAUCAGCUUGUUGGUGGGGUAGUGGCUUACCAAGGCUUUGACGGGUAGCCGGCCUGAGAGGGUGACCGGCCACAUUGGGACUGAGAGACGGCCCAGACGCCUACGGGAGGCAGCAGUGGGGAAUAUUGCACAAUGGGCGGAAGCCUGAUGCAGCAACGCCGCGGGCGGGAUGACGGCCUUCGGGUUGUAAACCGCUUUCGCCUGUGACGAAGCGGGAGUGACGGUAAUGGGUAAAGAAGCACCGGCUAACUACGUG
This 468-nucleotide ribosomal RNA is filed under the name uncultured bacterium. RNAcentral describes it as "partial 16S ribosomal RNA". It matches the Rfam family "Bacterial small subunit ribosomal RNA", at positions 28 to 507 of the family's 1533-position model. The record is from RNAcentral.